RNAcentral lists this ribosomal RNA (264 nucleotides) under Streptococcus constellatus. RNAcentral describes it as "partial 16S ribosomal RNA". It matches the Rfam family "Bacterial small subunit ribosomal RNA", at positions 1141 to 1405 of the family's 1533-position model. Lineage: Bacteria; Bacillati; Bacillota; Bacilli; Lactobacillales; Streptococcaceae. The record is from RNAcentral.
UGAGAAGAUGGCGCAUACUAAACGGGAGGAGGCGGGGAAGGAGGCCAAUUAUUCAUCCCCUUAUGGCCUUGGUUACCCCCCUUCCUCCAUGGGAGGGAACAGCGGGUAGCAAGCCGGUGACGCCAAGCUAAUCUGAGAAACCCUGUCUCAGUUCGGAUCGUAGGCUGCAACUCGCCUACAUGAAGUCGGAAUCGCUAGUAAUCGCGGAUCAGCACACCGCGGUGAAUACGUUCCCGGGCCUGUACACACCGCCCGUCACACCAC